This 367-nucleotide transfer-messenger RNA is filed under the name Bacilli. Its description in RNAcentral is "Caccosoma faecigallinarum Standard tmRNA". It matches the Rfam family "transfer-messenger RNA". Rfam says of the family: Bacterial tmRNA, also known as 10Sa RNA or SsrA, is named for its dual tRNA and mRNA-like properties. Its role is to liberate the mRNA from a stalled ribosome. To accomplish this part of the tmRNA is used as a reading frame that ends in a translation stop signal. Lineage: Bacteria; Bacillati; Bacillota. RNAcentral also lists the same sequence under 3 other names. The record is from RNAcentral.
GGGGGUGUCUUGGUUUCGACGGGAAUACGUUUGGUAUGGAGUGCAGUCGACUGAUCUCGUUAACGAUCACCAAAAAAUAUCUGGAAACAGAACACAAAACUACGCUUUUGCUGCUUAAUUAAGCCAUUGUCCCGCUAAUAGGGAAGCAAGCCAUCACUUAAAACUGGGUCUCUAAGUUUUAAACUGGUGCAAUAAGAGAGAAUAAGGGUGUAGGAUGUCUAUAAAUAUACCACGAAAACAAUAUAGAAUAGCUUUGGUUUUAUUCGUUUGCUUAUUGAACCAAGGCGAAACUUUAAAGCAAACUAAACUGUAGGACUCUGUAUGGGGCGAUUUUCGGACGCGGGUUCAAAUCCCGUCACCUCCACCA